Molecule: non-coding RNA, 29 nt
Filed under: Mus musculus (house mouse)
Lineage: Eukaryota; Metazoa; Chordata; Mammalia; Rodentia; Muridae
Source: RNAcentral
UNUAUCAGUCAUUGUUCUCCCCAAGCCUG